CCGGCACAAACCGACACAGCUUUGCGAUCUCGCCAGCAUGCAGAGUCUGAUGUCUUCCCUAUAGAUGAUUCCAGAGCCACUAUUACAAGGUGAGACGCUUUGCGUUGAUUGGUGCUGCUGGACCACACUGGAGGUGCGAGUCCGCCGUGUAAUGGUUUAUGCCAUUACAAAGGAGCUGGCCUCUGUACUCAACUGGACAGGGGAAAAAAAACCAAGGACCAGACAAAGCAAAAAAGGGCAUUUAAAGAGACAGCGCCGUGCAGAUGCAUAUUUGAUGGCCUGGCGCAGCAGGUAGGGGCGAACUCUGUCUGAGUUGGUCUUUGCUCAAGCAGUCCAGAAAUGGCUCAGAUAUGCUCCAGAUCGUACGGGUGGCGCGCAGGAUGCACAUCAUCCAUCCCCAUCCCGGAGUAAAUAAUA
Long non-coding RNA from Pelmatolapia mariae (spotted tilapia), 417 nucleotides. RefSeq lists it as uncharacterized. The transcript is spliced from 4 exons. NCBI's taxonomy places the organism in Eukaryota, Metazoa, Chordata, Actinopteri, Cichliformes, Cichlidae. The record is from RefSeq and is a predicted model, not a curated record.